AUGGUGGGGUUUUAGGGCUAUACCAAGGUAUUGUAAUAAGGCUUUAAAUGAGUGCUAAGAGAAUGGUUUAACAAGGGUUAACUUUCUUAACUUUUAUAAUGGAAGUUGAUUUAAAAAUGAAAAAGUUUUUAUGAAAUUUUGGGACAAGAAGACCCUAUGAAUUUUUCUUUUAUCCCUUUAGUGGUUAGCUAAAAUAAUUAAUAAAGGGUUAAAAGUUUGUUGGGGGGAUUUUUAAAGAUUAUUAAUCUUUAAAAAAAUUAUACAAAAUAGACCCAUUAUUAAUGGAUAUUUGUAAAAAUACUCUAGGGAUAACAGCGUAAUAACUUUGGAUAGAUCUUAUAGAUAAAGUGGUUUGCGACCUCGAUGUUGGAUUAGGAUUCUUUUAGGAUGAAGAAGUCUGAAAAGAAGUUGCUCAACUUUUAAAAUCUUACAUGAU
Molecule: ribosomal RNA, 436 nt
Filed under: Ornithodoros occidentalis
Lineage: Eukaryota; Metazoa; Arthropoda; Arachnida; Ixodida; Argasidae
Description: partial 16S ribosomal RNA
Rfam family: Bacterial large subunit ribosomal RNA (bases 142-436)
Source: RNAcentral